RNAcentral lists this non-coding RNA (49 nucleotides) under Isoalcanivorax pacificus W11-5. RNAcentral describes it as "Alcanivorax sp. W11-5 Guanidine-II riboswitch aptamer (mini-ykkC)". It matches the Rfam family "Guanidine-II riboswitch aptamer (mini-ykkC)". Rfam says of the family: Simpler in structure and has fewer highly conserved nucleotide positions than the ykkC-yxkD leader. Lineage: Bacteria; Pseudomonadati; Pseudomonadota; Gammaproteobacteria; Oceanospirillales; Alcanivoracaceae. RNAcentral also lists the same sequence under 1 other name. The record is from Rfam by way of RNAcentral.
UGGCAGAGACGACUCUGCCAGCUUCAUAUUGCUCCAGGGGACGGCCCCG